RNAcentral lists this unclassified non-coding RNA (305 nucleotides) under plant metagenome. RNAcentral describes it as "partial contains 5.8S ribosomal RNA, internal transcribed spacer 2, and large subunit ribosomal RNA". The stretch from base 1 to 105 matches the Rfam family "5.8S ribosomal RNA", at positions 50 to 154 of the family's 154-position model. The record is from RNAcentral.
GAAAUGCGAUAAGUAAUGUGAAUCGCAGAAUUCAGUGAAUCAUCGAAUCUUUGAACGCACAUUGCGCCCGCCAGUAUUCUGGCGGGCAUGCCUGUUCGAGCGUCAUUUCAACCAUCAAGCCCCGGGCUUGUGUUGGGGACCUGCGGCUGCCGCAGGCCCUGAAAACCAGUGGCGGGCUCGCUGUCACACCGAGCGUAGUAGAUUCUCAUCUCGCUCAGGGCGUGCUGCGGGUUCCGGCCGUAAAACAGCCUUAUUUUACCCAAGGUUGACCUCGGAUCAGGUAGGAAGACCCGCUGAACUUAAGC